RNAcentral lists this ribosomal RNA (1470 nucleotides) under Triticum aestivum (bread wheat). Its description in RNAcentral is "partial small subunit ribosomal RNA". The record is from RNAcentral. Lineage: Eukaryota; Viridiplantae; Streptophyta; Magnoliopsida; Poales; Poaceae.
UCUUUCUUUCAACAUCUUUAUUCUUGUGAUACUAAUGUUGACCCAUCACGUAUUAUUUCCAUCGUGAAACCUCUCGUCACUGAUGAUAUGAAUGCGGAGCUAUGUAAACCGUUUUAUGAGGAGGAGAUUAGUGAUGCUCUUUUCCAGAUAAGUCCGUUAAAAGCCCCAGGUCCGGAUGGAUUUCCUGCAAGAUUUUUUCAGAGGAAUUGGGGUUUAAUCAAGGAGGACAUUGUAAGGGCGGUUCAGCAAUUCUUUAUCUCAGGUGUUAUGCCUGAAGGUGUAAAUGACACUACCAUUGUCCUUAUUCCAAAAGUGAAGAAUCCUCAGUCCAUCAAGGAGUUUAGACCGAUCAGCCUGUGUAAUGUCAUUUAUAAAAUUAUCUCGAAGUGCCUGGUAAAUAGACUGAGACCUCUUUUGGAUGGUAUGCUCUCUCCCACUCAGAGUGCCUUUAUUCCUGGAAGAUUAAUUUCUCAUAACGUGCUUAUUACCUUCGAAUGUAUUCAUUCGUUGAGUACAUUAAAAGAUCAACGUUGAGAGUUUUGUGCAUAUAAGUUGGAUCUGGCAAAAGCGUAUGAUCGUGUAGAUUGGCAAUUUUUAAAGAGUAUGUUGGGGGCUUUUGGCUUUGCACCAUCUUGGAUUAACUGGAUCAUGACGUGUGUUACAUCAGUGAAAUUCUCGGCCCGGUUGAAUGGACAACUGUUGGAACCUUUUUAUCCUUCGUGUGGGCUCAGGCAAGGGGAUCCCUUAUCGCCGUAUUUGUUCCUAUUUGUUGCUGAGUCCCUUUCCUUGUUGUUAAAGGAUGCUUGUGACAAAGGUGCUCUAAAAGAAUUUAACUUGAACAAACAUGCGCCAGGUAUCUCUCAUCUUUUAUUUGCGGAUGAUAGUCUCCUAUUUUUCAAAGGGUCCAUAGAUCAAGCUUUAGUCAUUAAAAAUAUUCUGUCGGGCUAUGAGGUGGGAACGGGUCAACUUCUGAGCCCCGAUAAAUGUUCAAUCAAGUUUGGCAAGAAGUGUAGUAUGAAGGAUCAAGUGGCCACUAUGGUUAUUCUUAAUAUUACUGCAGAAGGUUUUGAACAUAAGUACCUUGGCUUACCGGUACCUGAUGGCAGAAUGAAGGUGGGAAAGUUCCAAUCAACAAAAGAUAAGGCAUUAAAAAGAGCAUCAGAUUGGAUUGAAAAAUAUGUUUCAAGUGGUAUAAAAGAAAAUCAAAUCAAGGCAGUGUUGCAAGCGCUCCCAGUGUACGCCAUGGGUAUCUUUAAAUUUCCAGUUUCCUUAUGUGAUUUGUUGGCUCAGAUUAUAAGAAAUUUCUGGUGGGGAGACGAAGAAGACAGAAGGAAAACACAUUGGCUAGCUUGGGAUAAACUCACUAAACCAAAAAGAGAGGGAUGCAUAGGUGUAGGAGCUUUCCAGGUAGCUAAUAGCGUACUGCCACUGGUCAUGAGAACAACCUUUCCACUACCUGCCAAGCCGUAG